This 103-nucleotide microRNA precursor is filed under the name Marmota monax (woodchuck). Lineage: Eukaryota; Metazoa; Chordata; Mammalia; Rodentia; Sciuridae. The record is from RNAcentral.
AGUGGGAUAGCUGGGUCAAAUGGUGGUUCCAUUCCAAGCUUUUAAAGGAAUGUCCAUACUGCUUUCCAGAAUGGUUGCACCAAUUUUCAGUGCCACCAGCAAU